AGAGUUUGAUCCUGGCUCAGGACGAACGCUGGCGGCGCGCCUAACACAUGCAAGUCGAACGAGCGAGAGAGAGCUUGCUUUCUCGAGCGAGUGGCGAACGGGUGAGUAACGCGUGAGGAACCUGCCUCAAAGAGGGGGACAACAGUUGGAAACGACUGCUAAUACCGCAUAAGCCCACGGGUCGGCAUCGACCAGAGGGAAAAGGAGCAAUCCGCUUUGAGAUGGCCUCGCGUCCGAUUAGCUAGUUGGUGAGGUAAUGGCCCACCAAGGCGACGAUCGGUAGCCGGACUGAGAGGUUGAACGGCCACAUUGGGACUGAGACACGGCCCAGACUCCUACGGGAGGCAGCAGUGGGGAAUAUUGCACAAUGGGGGAAACCCUGAUGCAGCGACGCCGCGUGGAGGAAGAAGGUCUUCGGAUUGUAAACUCCUGUUGUUAGGGAAGAUAAUGACGGUACCCAACAAGGAAGUGACGGCUAACUACGUGCCAGCAGCCGCGGUAAAACGUAGGUCACAAGCGUUGUCCGGAAUUACUGGGUGUAAAGGGAGCGCAGGCGGGAAGACAAGUUGGAAGUGAAAUCUAUGGGCUCAACCCAUAAACUGCUUUCAAAACUGUUUUUCUUGAGUAGUGCGGAGGUAGGCGGAAUUCCCGGUGUAGCGGUGGAAUGCGUAGAUAUCGGGAGGAACACCAGUGGCGAAGGCGGCCUACUGGGCACCAACUGACGCUGAGGCUCGAAAGUGUGGGUAGCAAACAGGAUUAGAUACCCUGGUAGUCCACACCGUAAACGAUGAUAGAUAGGUAUGAGAAAAAUUGACCCCUUCAGUACCGCAGUUAACACAAUAAAGUAAUCCGCGGGGGGAGUACGACCGCAAGGUUGAAACUCAAAGGAAUUGGAGGGGGCCCGCACAAGCAGUGGAGUAUGUGGUUUAAUUUGACGCAACGCGAAGAACCUUACCAAGUCUUGACAUCCUGCGACGGUGCUGGAAACAGUACUUUCCUUCGGGACGCAGAGACAGGUGGUGCAUGGUUGUUGUCAGCUCGUGUCGUGAGAUGUUGGGUUAAGUCCCGCAACGAGCGCAACCCUUAUGGUCAGUUACUACGCAAGAGGACUCUGGCCAGACUGCCGUUGACAAAACGGAGGAAGGUGGGGAUGACGUCAAAUCAUCAUGCCCUUUAUGACUUGGGCUACACACGUACUACAAUGGCGUUAAACAAAGAGAAGCAAGACCGCGAGGUGGAGCAAAACUCAGAAACAACGUCCCAGUUCGGACUGCAGGCUGCAACUCGCCUGCACGAAGUCGGAAUUGCUAGUAAUCGCAGAUCAGCAUGCUGCGGCGAAUACGUUCCCGGGCCUUGUACUCACCGCCCGUCA
Molecule: ribosomal RNA, 1372 nt
Filed under: uncultured bacterium
Lineage: Bacteria
Description: bacterial SSU rRNA
Rfam family: Bacterial small subunit ribosomal RNA
Source: RNAcentral